CAGACUCACUCUGAAAAGCAACCAAACUCGUUUAAAUGACUAUAUCAUGUUUACAGUGUGAACACUGGGCAAUUCCUCCGAAGGAGGGGGCACCAGAAUUGUGUAUGCAGGGUUUUUAUUGCCACCCAUUACCAUAGCGCAAUUAGCCAAGCUAAUUACCAUUAUCAGAAUGGCGUUGUUUUCACAAUAUUAUUCAUCUAACAGUAUAUACAGCUAAAUUAACCUACUGACGCAUUUUCGUUAGCUAAUAUACUACUAAACUAGACAUUUAGCUAACUAAGGUUAAAUUUAAUUCGGUUUGUCGCCAGUCUUGCAAACGAGCACAGUUAGCUAAAACACCUAUCACAGCUAUGUUACCUAGCUAUAGGCCUGCGUAUAACUCACAUGAUUAUUUAACCUCAACUGUUUGACUGUUAGCUAGCCAGGUAUGCUCGUUUGGUAGUUUGCAAAGUAUGGGACUGAAAUUAAACGUGUUAUUCCAUAAAAACCUACCUUGUCCUCGAAGAAAACGUUUGGCGCAAACAACAGUUGUGUCCUGUGUUCCUCUGGAAGCCUGGACCGCUUGGCGCGAGGCGGCGUCCACAAACACCUCCGUUCUUCGCUCUUUUUCUUCCUCUUCUUGCUUAAAUAAUAUUUUGUGAGUUUUAUUUUUUAAAAUUGUAAUUUCUUUGGUAACGGCAGGUCUUUCCGAACGGCUAGUUAUCACACCAACCCAAGUACCGUUUUUAUUGGUAAUUUAAAAACGGAAGCCUGUUUGUGUAUAUUGUGACGUCAGUGAAGUCGCCCCAUGCACACGCGCCUGUUAGCCAUCGCUGUUAAUAGUUGGUUAUUAUAUUCGACGGCAGUAGAACAUUUAAUGCAUUUGACAAGAUCAAUCUUCAGCUGUCCUUCACAAGCAAUGAAAUUUAUAUGGAAUACAGGUUUCUGACAAUUUUCUUUUUAUCUGUGUAUCACCUGCAAAACUCCAUGCAUAUCCACCAUUUUGAUUUUAGUUUACAUAUAGGCCUACAUUUUUGCGGGAAGACUGGAACAAUGAAUGUCAUCAACUACUACAGUGCAAGCACAGAAGGAACUAGUGUGCAAAGCUGUGGCAGAAACACAUCCUCAUAUCUACACGUGUCUCAUCAGGAAAACCAUCAUGUGGAAUCUCCGUUCUUGGGAACAGGGAGCAAAGGCUGAGCAAGACCAGGCUUGACCACUCCCAUUAUAUCCUGAUUAUAGUGCAGCAGUGUGGUCUCCUGCUGAGGUGUGAGCAGAGAAGGAAUCCCAUGGUGCCCUGUGUCAGACCAAAGGCAUCAGAGGGGACAGGUGUCUGUGACUAAACUGCAGUUCCUGCCCCAGGUAGGGUGAACCCCCCCCCCCCCCCAAUGCCAGCACGCAGCCAGAGGUCUGGUUUCUGCCAAGCACUCUUUUGUUUUGUUUUUUAUCUGUACCCCAGCCUUUUCCCCUGUGCUGUAAUGACAGAUGUGUGAAGUCAGUGCCUGGUGUGGAAAUCCUUGUAACAUAAAGAAAUCAGAUAGGCAAUCGGCCAAUCAAAUCAGUCUGUUGUAGUUCAACUUCAGUCAUGCGUAGACGGCUCGAUAAAGAUCCGUCACAAUGAACAAGUGAUAUGGCGUUAUCAGAAUAAAAGGAUUCUAUAUA
Long non-coding RNA from Anguilla rostrata (American eel), 1641 nucleotides. RefSeq lists it as uncharacterized. The record is from RefSeq and is a predicted model, not a curated record. The transcript has 2 exons. Lineage: Eukaryota; Metazoa; Chordata; Actinopteri; Anguilliformes; Anguillidae.